UAGUAAGCUACUUCAGGUAGGAGGAAGGUAGUGUAGUUACACCUGCAUUAUUUGACGUUACCUACAGAAGAAGCACCGGCUAACUCCGUGCCAGCAGCCGCGGUAAUACGGAGGGUGCGAGCGUUAAUCGGAAUUACUGGGCGUAAAGCGCAUGCAGGCGGCCUGUUAAGUCAGAUGUGAAAGACCCGGGGCGUUAACCUCGGAAUUGCAUUUGAAACUAGGCAGGCUAGAGUCUUGUAGAGGGGGGUAGGAAGUUUCUAGGUGUAGCGGUGAAAUAGCGUAGAGAUCUGAAGGAAUACCAGUGGCGAAGGCGGCCCCCUCGGACAAAGACUGACGCUCAGAUGCGAAAGCGUGGGGAGCAAACAGGAUUAGAUACCCUGGUAG
RNAcentral lists this ribosomal RNA (384 nucleotides) under uncultured bacterium. RNAcentral describes it as "bacterial SSU rRNA". It matches the Rfam family "Bacterial small subunit ribosomal RNA", at positions 423 to 793 of the family's 1533-position model. The record is from RNAcentral.